This 224-nucleotide ribosomal RNA is filed under the name uncultured Lactobacillus sp. Its description in RNAcentral is "partial 16S ribosomal RNA". It matches the Rfam family "Bacterial small subunit ribosomal RNA", at positions 144 to 355 of the family's 1533-position model. The record is from RNAcentral. Lineage: Bacteria; Bacillati; Bacillota; Bacilli; Lactobacillales; Lactobacillaceae.
UAACAACCUGGAAACAAGAUGCUAAUAACCGGAUAACAAACAGAUGAUGCCUAUCAACUGUUUAAAAGAAUGGUUCUGCUAUCACUCUUGGAUGGACCUGCGGUGCAUUAGCUAGUUGGUAGGGUAACGGCCUACCAAGGCGAUGAUGCAUAGCCGAGUUGAGAGACUGAUCGGCCACAUUGGGACUGAGACACGGCCCAAACUCCUACGGGGAGGCAGCAGUU